UUGGACUCUCGCCUGUGCUCUCUGGGGGAUCCACGGGAUAGUCCCCCGAUUCUAGGAACUGGCAGGGGGAAGCAAGCCUAAAGAAACAUCUAGUGAAGCUUCAGAUCCAGAGAGAAGACCUUCAAGCAAUGGCCCUGGUAAGCAUUCGGUACUGCUGUCUGCUUCUAGAAAGAGAGAAGAACAGUAACAAAUAGAAUCGAAGCCUGGAAAGUUCAAAAAUUUGCUUUUAGAAGGAUAACUCAAGGAAGCACAGAUGGCAGAGGCUGCAGCUGAAGCAGAGCGCUCUGCUGGCGGGACAGCCAUCGUGUCCAGCACCCAGAGUAAUGGGCCAUUCAGCCUAGUGGAAGGCACAUGAGCUGCUCCAUCAACCUUCC
RNAcentral lists this long non-coding RNA (374 nucleotides) under Homo sapiens (human). RNAcentral's name for it is "non-protein coding lnc-MTRNR2L1-2:3". The record is from RNAcentral. Lineage: Eukaryota; Metazoa; Chordata; Mammalia; Primates; Hominidae.